RNAcentral lists this ribosomal RNA (497 nucleotides) under uncultured bacterium. RNAcentral describes it as "partial 16S ribosomal RNA". It matches the Rfam family "Bacterial small subunit ribosomal RNA", at positions 28 to 507 of the family's 1533-position model. The record is from RNAcentral.
GAUGAACGCUGGCGGCGUGCCUAAUACAUGCAAGUCGAGCGAACGGACGAGAAGUUUGCUUCUCUGAUGUUAGCGGCGGACGGGUGAGUAACACGUGGACAACCUACCUAUAAGACUGGGAUAACUUCGGGAAACCGGAGCUAAUACCGGAUAAUAUUUUGAACCGCAUGGUUCAAAAGUGAAAGACGGUCUUGCUGUCACUUAUAGAUGGACCCGCGCUGCAUCAGCUAGGUGGUAGGGUAACGGCUUGCCAAGGCGACGAUGCAUAGCCGACCUGAGAGGGGGGUCGGCCACACUGGAGCUGAGACGCGGUCCAGACUCCUACGGGAGGCAGCGGUGGGGAAUCUUCCGCGAAGGGCGAAAGCCUGGCGGAGCAACGCCGCGUGAGUGAUGAGGGUCUUCGGAUCGUAAAACUCUGUUGUUAGGGGAGAACAUAUGUGUGAGUAACUGUGCACAUCUUGACGGUACCUAGUCAGAAAGCCACGGCUAACUACGUG